Molecule: ribosomal RNA, 377 nt
Filed under: uncultured bacterium
Lineage: Bacteria
Description: bacterial SSU rRNA
Rfam family: Bacterial small subunit ribosomal RNA
Source: RNAcentral
AUACGUAGGUGGCAAGCGUUGUCCGGAUUUAUUGGGCGUAAAGCGAGCGCAGACGGUUUCUUAAGUCUGAUGUGAAAGCCCCCGGCUCAACCGGGGAGGGUCAUUGGAAACUGGGAGACUUGAGUGCAGAAGAGGAGAGUGGAAUUCCAUGUGUAGCGGUGAAAUGCGCAGAUAUCGGGAAGAACACCGAUGGCGAAGGCAGCCUGCUGGGCCGCAACUGACGCUGAGGCGCGAAAGCGUGGGGAGCAAACAGGAUUAGAUACCCUGGUAGUCCACGCCGUAAACGAUGAGUGCUAAGUGUUGGAGGGUUUCCGCCCUUCAGUGCUGCAGCUAACGCAUUAAGCACUCCGCCUGGGGAGUACGACCGCAAGGUUGAA